GAACGCACAUUGCGCCUCCUGGUAUUCCGGGAGGCACGCCUGUCCGAGCGCCAUUACACCCCCCAAGCCUUGCUUGAUGUUGGGCCAUGACGCGCUGUCAAGCCCCAAACCUUUAGGCGCCCCCUACUGGCCGCGAGCGUAGCAAGAAUUUAUUUCCCUCGUUCCGCGUGUCCAUUGGGUGGGUCGCCAAUUGACCCCUAAAUUUUACAAGGUUUGGCCUCGGAUCAGGCGGGGAUACCCGCUGAACUUAAG
Molecule: unclassified non-coding RNA, 252 nt
Filed under: uncultured fungus
Lineage: Eukaryota; Fungi
Description: sequence contains 5.8S rRNA gene
Source: RNAcentral